GAAUGUAAGAAGAACUAGUCUUAGGAUUAUAAAUAUGUGAGUUAUAAUUCAAGGUAGUAUUGAUUUUACCAAGAAGAAUGAAAGAUUAUGAGUGAUAAUCAUGAAGUGGAGGAUUAUCAAAAAAUUAAUAGAGAAGGGAAAGAAAGCCAGGAGUAAUUAUGCAUAAGAAAUCUCCUAUAAGAACGACAAAAAGGAAUUGUAGGUCCAAGUAAAACCAAAAGAAGAAAAAUUCAAAUUCAAAUAGCAAGAAGACCAAUAAUAACACCAAUGGCCGCAGGAGUGCCAGAAGUACCAAUUACAGUACAAAUGGGAGUAGUAUGAGACCGAACUACAAGUGUGGCACCAUUAUUUACUUUUAG
Molecule: long non-coding RNA, 359 nt
Filed under: Physcomitrium patens
Lineage: Eukaryota; Viridiplantae; Streptophyta; Bryopsida; Funariales; Funariaceae
Description: long non-coding RNA (PPAT_LNC000695)
Source: RNAcentral